Molecule: long non-coding RNA, 243 nt
Filed under: Durio zibethinus
Lineage: Eukaryota; Viridiplantae; Streptophyta; Magnoliopsida; Malvales; Malvaceae
Description: long non-coding RNA (DZIB_LNC000093)
Source: RNAcentral
AACAGUGAAAGAUUAGGCUUGGGAUGUGAAGUAAAAGAUGUACGAGAUGAUAGAAGAAAAAAAUGGUGAGAAAUAUGCCAAUGGUUGUUCCUCAUUUGUAUGUGGGAUGUAAAGUAAAAGGUGUACGAGAUGAUAGAAGAAAAAAAAUGGUGAGAAAUAUGCCAAUGGUUGUUCCUAAUUUGUAUGAAAUAUUUAGUCUUAGAGGAUACAUGUACCUGGGAGCUAAGGAAAAUGCUAAAAGGG